This 491-nucleotide long non-coding RNA is filed under the name Pan troglodytes (chimpanzee). RNAcentral describes it as "long non-coding RNA NONPTRT013120". Lineage: Eukaryota; Metazoa; Chordata; Mammalia; Primates; Hominidae. The record is from RNAcentral.
CUUGGUCAGAUGGUAUUUCUGUCUUUAGGUCUUUGAGGAAUCAACACUCUGUCUUCCACAUGCAAUAUCCUGCUGUGUCACUCCAGGUCUAGUAAUUAGAGUGAGUGGCAGCCGCUACAGUGUGUAUCUGCCUGAAAGCAGAGGAAAAAGAAUGAUAUGCACAACCGGCCAUUAUCCCCUGACUUUUCAUUUGAUGUUUUAUCUCUGCCAGUGGUGCUGCAUGUCUGACCCUGAAUCUCAUUUAGACUGCGAAUCACAGAUACAAAAUCCCAUCUGUGAAUUUCAUCUAUGGAUCUAGAUUUUCAUUCCUCAUUUUAACGGCAAGGGGUGGGGCAUGAUUUAGAAAAAGUUUUUGUAUGAUUCUUUGUGCAAAUAUAGACUUAUUACUAAGGGUAUGACUAAACAAUUAUAUAGAUAUAAUUUCUAUAGAUGUGAACUAGAUACUCUGUACUAAAAAUAGGUGACUUCUAACUGAAAGUGCCAUCUGUUCU